UUUAUUUAUUUAUUUAAAAGAGAAGGGUGUCGGUGGUAGAAAUGUAAUUAUCUCCAACUUUACAAGGAUAAUGAGUUAUUAACAAUUCAUAAUCUGAUUUUAGCUGGGUAGAGUAGAUUGUGAGUUUUUAAUAAUGUGUCCAUCUAAUUUUUAUAAUCUAUACCAUAAUAUGUCCUUUUUGAAGAUGAAAUAGAUUAUAAAAGCUAGAUUAUAUAAUCUGAGUGGUUUCAAACAUGACCUAAAUGUAUCGCCAAAUCACCAUCUUUGUUUGAUUCUCAAAGCCUCCCAUGUUGCCGCUACUAACCGUUAACCGAAGAUGACACUUUUUGUUUCUGGCAUUCCUUUUCAUCAUUGUUGCUAAUGUCGAACAAGCAUAGACAACCGCUAUUCCAUCCCAACAAAGACACACAAAAUCUGAUUGCUCGUCCCCUUGAGUUACGUGAGAGCAUGCGGUAUAAGAUGACUCGGCAUGAGUGGAUGAGGGAUAGUAGAGCCUUGAAGUGGCCAAGUAGAAUGAGCAAGUACAACAGUGCAUGCUGUAAUUUUGGCUAUCAGUCGGUAGUUCCCAAUGCCUCCAAUACCUAUGUCUAUCAAAAACCUCAGUUGUGCUAAGAUGCAACAAAUAAUACACUCAAUGAUACUGGAUAAUUCCAAGGUGUGGGAGUGAAAAGUAUGAAAUAAGCUAUUGAUCUCCUCACUGGCAAACCCCUCGCUCUUUAUAGAUCAUCUGAAUGGUGGAUAGUGACGUAAAUAUUGUACAUGGGUGUGCUAAGCAAAUGAUCUUUCACUUGAGAAAAAAAUAAUCCAUUUGUUGUAUACCCUGCACACAUUUCACUGUUAGUCAAUUUUUCAGGCUAAGACAGGGUUGUGUCGCCAUGCUUAGGCCUUGGACAUUGCAGAGCACAGCGAGUGAUAGGGGUUGUUGCCAUUUCGCCGGCGGGGGCUGUCAAAUUUUUUCUCCUUUUCGAUUUUACUUAUUUCAAUUAUUUUCCAUACUUUUUUGUACUUUUGGUAAUAUAAGGUGAAUUUGUUUUCCCUUUCUGCGGGAGAGGUUAACUUUCUUCCCAAUAUAGGGUGAACCUUUUUUUGGUGUGAAUGAUGAACAAUUCCUUAAUGUACGAAGACCAC
This 1128-nucleotide long non-coding RNA is filed under the name Hordeum vulgare. Its description in RNAcentral is "long non-coding RNA (HVUL_LNC014795)". Lineage: Eukaryota; Viridiplantae; Streptophyta; Magnoliopsida; Poales; Poaceae. The record is from RNAcentral.